Molecule: long non-coding RNA, 499 nt
Organism: Dioscorea cayenensis subsp. rotundata (Guinea yam)
Lineage: Eukaryota; Viridiplantae; Streptophyta; Magnoliopsida; Dioscoreales; Dioscoreaceae
Exons: 3
Source: RefSeq, a predicted model, not a curated record
AUAGUUGAGCUUCCCUUCUCCGUGCUCUUCUCUUCUCUUCUCUUCUCGUCCGCUUCGGUGUGAGAUCCACGAGCUUCCCUUCUCAGUCUCUCAGCUUCUCGUCGGCUACGGAUUCACGAGAUCCAUUGUUGAUGUUGUUGGUCAUCGAUCUCAUGGCCCUAUUCCUGAACCUGGAUCAAUUGUCGUUGUUCGGGUUACAAAAGUUAUGGCUAGAAUGGCUUCAUCUGAUAUAAUGUGUGUGGAAUCAAAGGCUGUGAAGGAAAAGUUUACUGGUAUUAUUAGUUUACUGGUAUGCAAUGUUAAUUGAAAAAAAAUAAGGACACAAUGCUUCAUUCUUAGUGAUCAAAGAAUGAUAUUUUGAGCAUGAUGGUGAAUUUGGAGCCCUUUCACUUGGUUAAACUUUUAUUGUUUCUGAGUUUUAUGAGAGCUGACAAUGCUGAAUGAGUAGCUAUUUUUUAUUUAUAUAAGAAUGAAUAGCUUCAUUAUGUUUUUUUGUUUA